RNAcentral lists this ribosomal RNA (891 nucleotides) under uncultured bacterium. Its description in RNAcentral is "bacterial SSU rRNA". It matches the Rfam family "Bacterial small subunit ribosomal RNA", at positions 30 to 916 of the family's 1533-position model. The record is from RNAcentral.
UGAACGCUGGCGGCAGGCCUAACACAUGCAAGUCGAGCGGUAGAGAGAAGCUUGCUUCUCUUGAGAGCGGCGGACGGGUGAGUAAUGCCUAGGAAUCUGCCUGGUAGUGGGGGAUAACGCUCGGAAACGGACGCUAAUACCGCAUACGUCCUACGGGAGAAAGCAGGGGACCUUCGGGCCUUGCGCUAUCAGAUGAGCCUAGGUCGGAUUAGCUAGUUGGUGAGGUAAUGGCUCACCAAGGCGACGAUCCGUAACUGGUCUGAGAGGAUGAUCAGUCACACUGGAACUGAGACACGGUCCAGACUCCUACGGGAGGCAGCAGUGGGGAAUAUUGGACAAUGGGCGAAAGCCUGAUCCAGCCAUGCCGCGUGUGUGAAGAAGGUCUUCGGAUUGUAAAGCACUUUAAGUUGGGAGGAAGGGCAUUAACCUAAUACGUUGGUGUUUUGACGUUACCGACAGAAUAAGCACCGGCUAACUCUGUGCCAGCAGCCGCGGUAAUACAGAGGGUGCAAGCGUUAAUCGGAAUUACUGGGCGUAAAGCGCGCGUAGGUGGUUUGUUAAGUUGAAUGUGAAAUCCCCGGGCUCAACCUGGGAACUGCAUCCAAAACUGGCAAGCUAGAGUAGGGCAGAGGGUGGUGGAAUUUCCUGUGUAGCGGUGAAAUGCGUAGAUAUAGGAAGGAACACCAGUGGCGAAGGCGACCACCUGGGCUCAUACUGACACUGAGGUGCGAAAGCGUGGGGAGCAAACAGGAUUAGAUACCCUGGUAGUCCACGCCGUAAACGAUGUCAACUAGCCGUUGGAAUCCUUGAGAUUUUAGUGGCGCAGCUAACGCAUUAAGUUGACCGCCUGGGGAGUACGGCCGCAAGGUUAAAACUCAAAUGAAUUGACGG